UCUGGUUGAUCCUGCCAGUAGUCAUAUGCUUGUCUCAAAGAUUAAGCCAUGCAUGUCUAAGUAUAAAUAGUAUACAGUGAAACUGCGAAUGGCUCAUUAAAACAGUUAUAGUUUAUUUGAUAAUUGACAAUUACAUGGAUAACCGUGGUAAUUCUAGAGCUAAUACAUGCUUAAACGCCCGACUUUAUGGAAGGGUGGUAUAUAUUAGACUGAAGCCAAUAUUCCUUGUGUCUAUUGCGGUGAUUCAUAAUAACUGAUCGAAUCUCUUUUUGAGAUAAAUCAUUCAAGUUUCUGCCCUAUCAGCUUUCGAUGGUAGUGUAUUGGACUACCAUGGCAGUAACGGGUAACGAAGAAUUAGGGUUCGAUUUCGGAGAGGGAGCAUGAGAAACGGCUACCACAUCUAAGGAAGGCAGCAGGCGCGUAAAUUACCCAAUCCUGACUCAGGGAGGUAGUGACAAGGAAUAGCAAACCGGGAACCUCAUGGUUUCACGGUAUUGCAAUGAGAACAAUUUAAAACCCUUAGCGAGAAUCAAGUGGAGGACAAGUCUGGUGCCAGCACCCGCGGUAAUUCCAGCUCCACUAGCGUAUAUUAAAGUUGUUGCAGUUAAAAAGCUCGUAGUUGAACCUCUGUCUGGGGCUAGUUUUGGCUUUGGUCAGGCUAGUUCUAGGCAUCCGCCUACAAGACUUAGAGGGCAUUCAGUUGUUCACUAGGAGGAGUAGGCAUUUUACUUUGAAAAAAUUAGAGUGUUUAAGGCAGGCAAUCGCCCGCAUAUAUUAGCAUGGAAUAAUAGAAUAGGACACUUUUCCAUUUCGUUGGUUAUUGGAAUCGUGUAAUGAUUAAUAGAGACAGUUGUGGGCAUUUGUAUUUAAUUGUCAGAGGUGAAAUUCUUGGAUUUAUUAAAGACAAACUAACGCGAAAGCAUUUGCCAAGGAUGUUUUCAUUAAUCAAGAACGAAAGUUAGGGGAUCAAAGACGAUCAGAUACCGUCCUAGUCUUAACUAUAAACUAUUCCGACUCAAUGUUUGACUGGCUUAUAUAACCAGUUGAGCGUUGUAUGAGAAAUCAAAGUCUUUAGGUUCUGGGGGAGUAUGGUUGCAAAGCUGAAACUUAAAGGAAUUGACGGAAGAGCACAACCAGGAGUGGAUUCUGCGGCUUAAUUUGACUCAACACGGGGAAACUUACCAGGUUAAAACAAUAGUGGGAUUGACAGUUUGAGAGCGCUUUCUUGAUUGGUUGGGUGGUGGUGCAUGGCCGUUCUUAGUUGGUGGAGUGAUUUGUCUGCUUAAUUGCGUUAACGAACGAGACCUUAACCUGCUUACUAGACUGGCGAUCAUCAAUCGUUAGCUCUUCUUAGAGG
This 1357-nucleotide ribosomal RNA is filed under the name metagenome. Its description in RNAcentral is "SSU rRNA". It matches the Rfam family "Eukaryotic small subunit ribosomal RNA", at positions 1 to 1417 of the family's 1831-position model. The record is from RNAcentral.